AGAGUUUGAUCCUGGCUCAGGAUGAACGCUGGCGGCGUGCUUAACACAUGCAAGUCGAACGAACCUUCGGGUUAGUGGCGGACGGGUGAGUAACGCGUGGGAAUCUGCCCUCAGGAGGGGGAUAACGGCUGGAAACGGCCGCUAAUACCCCAUAUGCCGAGAGGUGAAAUGAAUUUCGCCUGAGGAUGAGCCCGCGUCUGAUUAGCUUGUUGGUGAGGUAAUGGCUCACCAAGGCUUCGAUCAGUAGCUGGUCUGAGAGGAUGAUCAGCCACACUGGGACUGAGACACGGCCCAGACUCCUACGGGAGGCAGCAGUGGGGAAUUUUCCGCAAUGGGCGAAAGCCUGACGGAGCAACGCCGCGUGAGGGACGAAGGCCUCUGGGCUUUAAACCUCUUUUCUCAAGGAGGAAGAUAUGACGGUACUUGAGGAAUAAGCCACGGCUAAUUCCGUGCCAGCAGCCGCGGUAAUACGGGAGUGGCAAGCGUUAUCCGGAAUUAUUGGGCGUAAAGCGUCCGCAGGCGGCCUUUCAAGUCUGCUGUUAAAACGUGGAGCUUAACUCCAUCAAGGCAGUGGAAACUGUUGGGCUUGAGUGUGGUAGGGGCAGAGGGAAUUCCCGGUGUAGCGGUGAAAUGCGUAGAUAUCGGGAAGAACACCAGUGGCGAAGGCGCUCUGCUGGGCCAUAACUGACGCUCAUGGACGAAAGCCAGGGGAGCGAAAGGGAUUAGAUACCCCUGUAGUCCUGGCCCGUAAACGAUGAACACUAAGUGUCGGGGGGAAUCGACCCCCUCGGUGUCGUAGCCCAACGCGUUUAGGUGUUCCGCCCUGGGGAGUACGCACGCAAGUGUGAAACUC
Molecule: ribosomal RNA, 853 nt
Filed under: uncultured Cyanobium sp.
Lineage: Bacteria; Bacillati; Cyanobacteriota; Cyanophyceae; Synechococcales; Prochlorococcaceae
Description: bacterial SSU rRNA
Rfam family: Bacterial small subunit ribosomal RNA
Source: RNAcentral